CAAUAGCGUAUAUUAAAGUUGUUGCAGUUAAAAAGCUCGUAGUUGAACUUGUGGGGGCUCCUGUGGUCCGCUUUGCGGUUCUGUCGGGGGCCUCCAUCCUUGGGUGGAUCCUGUGUGGCAUUAGGUUGUCGUGCAGGGGAGACCCAUCAUUUACUGUGAAAAAAUUAGAGUGUUCAAAGCAGGCUUACGCCGUUGAAUAUAUUAGCAUGGGAUAAUAAGAUAGGAUCUUGGUACUAUUUUGUUGGUUUGUGCACCAAGAUAAUGAUUAACAGGGACAGUUGUGGGUAUUCGUAUUCCAUUGUCAGAGGUGAAAUUCUUGGAUUUCUGGAAGACGAACGAAUGCGAAAGCAUUUACCAAGGAUGUUUUCAUUAA
Molecule: ribosomal RNA, 373 nt
Filed under: uncultured eukaryote
Lineage: Eukaryota
Description: partial 18S ribosomal RNA
Rfam family: Eukaryotic small subunit ribosomal RNA
Source: RNAcentral